This 487-nucleotide ribosomal RNA is filed under the name uncultured bacterium. Its description in RNAcentral is "bacterial SSU rRNA". It matches the Rfam family "Bacterial small subunit ribosomal RNA", at positions 28 to 507 of the family's 1533-position model. The record is from RNAcentral.
GAUGAACGCUAGCGACAGACCUAACACAUGCAAGUCGAGGGGCAGCACAUGAGUAGCAAUACGAUGGUGGCGACCGGCGCACGGGUGAGUAACACGUAUGCAACCUGCCUGUAAGAGGGGAAUAACCCGGAGAAAUUCGGACUAAUACCGCAUAAUACCACGAGACUGCAUGGUUUUGUGGUUAAACAUUUAUGGCUUACAGAUGGGCAUGCGUAUGAUUAGAUAGUUGGUAGGGUAACGGCCUACCAAGUCUACGAUCAUUAGGGGUUCUGAGAGGAAGGUCCCCCACACUGGUACUGAGACACGGACCAGACUCCUACGGGAGGCAGCAGUGAGGAAUAUUGGUCAAUGGGCGAGAGCCUGAACCAGCCAAGUCGCGUGAAGGAAGAAGGUUCUAUGGAUUGUAAACUUCUUUUGCAGGGGAAUAAAGGACGGUACGUGUACUGUUUUGUAUGUACCCUGAGAAUAAGGAUCGGCUAACUCCGUG